Molecule: non-coding RNA, 72 nt
Organism: Bos taurus (domestic cattle)
Lineage: Eukaryota; Metazoa; Chordata; Mammalia; Artiodactyla; Bovidae
Source: Rfam
UCCCUGAUAGCUCAGUUGGUAAAGAAUCUGCCUGCAAUGCAGGAGACCCUGGUUUGAUUCCUGGGUUGGGAA